CUUAUCAGUACAUCCCUCUGGCCCAGCCUGUUCCUGACUGUAGCAUAAGCAAUUGCCCAAGCACUUUUACAACAUCCCAGCACCCACAGAGGUGCAAAGCCCCUAUACCAAACUCUUUGCCUUCAGCUGCAGUGGCUGAAUGUUGAGCUAGGUAACUCAGGUGAUGCUUGUUGGGCAAUGAGGGCUAGAAGCUGAUAUGAAGCCUCAACAGGGAUUUCUGGGAGCAUGCUCUCCUCUGGGCUGUCUAGUCCCUAGCAUCAUCUUCCUUUGAUUCCUCUCCAGCCGUGGGAUGUGCUCCACUGGUUUGGUUGUGUAGUACGCCACUGUAUUUACAUGGAGAAUUCCUGCCCGGUGUUUAAGGAAGAAAAAUCCGCAGAAGUUUAAAUUCACCCUUGGGCAAAGACUCUGCUCUUGGACUUGCCAGACGUCUGGCUCUCAUCCAGACAGCCUGACUUGCAAGCCAGGCUUUCAAGGAAGAAAGGAACCCUUGGGAAAGAGCAGAUUACAGCUGGUCCAAAAAGAGGGGAUUCUGCUCAGUGAAUGCCGUUCCAGUUCCUACACAGUACAGGCAAUUGUCACCUCCUUUCUCCCCUCUCCCCCCUGCCCCCGUGCCUUUCCUUAACUCAGCUGUGCUGUAGCACUUGAUCAAUUGCAACAGCACUAAAAAAAAAAAAAAAAAAAAAGUUAGUCAUACAUGAUCAGCAAAAUGGCCCAAAUGAUGUCAUCCAUCAAGAUGGACAUCGCAAUUUGCCAACUAUUUUCUCAUAAAUCAAAUCAUAGUCCCACAAGGAAGAAGAGCAGCUCAUGAAGAGCCAACAUGGCAGCAGUUAUCGGCAGACUGAGAGAAAUGCUCCCUCAAGUAUACAGUAAUUAUUUUUACUCGAUGGGAAAUAAAGAGGGGAGAGAUGGUAGUGUAGAACUGGAG
This 925-nucleotide long non-coding RNA is filed under the name Coturnix japonica (Japanese quail). RNAcentral describes it as "lncRNA (ENSCJPG00005020054.1)". The record is from RNAcentral. Lineage: Eukaryota; Metazoa; Chordata; Aves; Galliformes; Phasianidae.